Molecule: long non-coding RNA, 112 nt
Organism: Etheostoma spectabile (orangethroat darter)
Lineage: Eukaryota; Metazoa; Chordata; Actinopteri; Perciformes; Percidae
Exons: 3
Source: RefSeq, a predicted model, not a curated record
CGAUUAUUUUUUGGGCUUUUCUGCCUUCAUAUGAUAGGACAGCUUGGUAAGAAAGGGGAGAGAGAGGGGAAGACAUGCUGGAAAUCAUCACAUGUCAGCCUCGAACCUCGGA